AUGCUGCUCACCACCAUCCAUGGAUACUACCUGCAGGCACUAGCCUGGCUGCCCAAGGAGAAGCUGUGCUCUCAAUACCACCACAGCCUGCUCCAGGCCGGCCACUGCUAUGGUCCACUGGACCCUGUCUCCAACAUCAUCCUCAAUACAAUCUGGUACAGCCGAGCCUACCCUCUAACCAAGAAGGUUGACCUGGAGGCAAUCAGCACAGGAGGCCUUUCUCGAAUUGCAGUCAGAUCCUUCUAUGGCCUUGUCUCCUUCCUGUGCACCCGCUGCGCCACACACCUCUCGCCAGACCAAGCCAUGCAGCGACUGCAGGCGUCUGGGGCCGAUCUCCGAAUCGCUGAUCCUAACCACCUUGAUGAUGAUAACAAUGAUGAAGCUAUGGUAUCUGCCAGUGUCGAACAAGCUUAUGCUGCAGCUGCAGCUGCUGCAUUCCACCCCAAACCUCUUGACCAGGCAGAGCUUCUCCGACCGUCUAAUCCAAUGUUGCGGAUGGCCUCGCACUAUCUCAAGAAUGGCGGCAAGCUCUCCCACGUGGACGCUGACCAUCUUGCCGAAUGUUUGUUCUAUUCCAUCAGCGAGUUGGAACAAAGUGAGCACCCAGAAACAAACAUCGAGGCGGUAAACAAGUUGACCUACGGCAGGAUGGAUCGACUCAUGAAUGACUUCUGGAACGAGCAUGCUGCAGUCGUUGGAAUGGUGAAAUCUUUAAUUGACGCAUAUAGCCGGCAACCUGGGGUACCCAAGUACGAGUUGCAUCUUAUCUGUGGUGUCAAUAAGUAUGUUGAUGGCCCUGUGUACACGGGUCCUUUCACUCGCAUAUAUCAUUACUCCCACAUCAACUUCCUCACUACCCAAUCUGCCGGUGCACCAUCAACGCUAUUCUUUGCUGAAUGCUGCAACGAUGGCACUCAGACUCAGGAGAUGGGCUGGUGCUGCCCUGUCGGCGUACCAUCUCCAGGCACUGGACAAGUCCGUUGCCUGUACUGUGAGUAUGCCGGGAGCAGGGUUGUGCAUCCAGCACAGGGGAGUUUCGUUGGACGUGGCCUAGAGUUUGAGAAGAUGUGGGGCGGAGAAAAACUAUAUUCAGAACAGUAUACCAAUGACUGCAUCAUAGCGGGCAGCCGUGAGCCGACUUACUGGGUGGAUUAUCUGGAAGACGAUUGCAUCUACCGCAGCUAUCGUCUUGAUGGUACCGAGAAAGAGGAAAAGAUCUUCUUAAAGAAGGGGAUUCCUGAUGAUGAAGAGAUGAAGUACUUGAUAGAGAUGGGGUUUAUGAUCAUCGAGGAUGAUGGUUUGUCCUAA
Molecule: ribosomal RNA, 1308 nt
Filed under: Triticum aestivum (bread wheat)
Lineage: Eukaryota; Viridiplantae; Streptophyta; Magnoliopsida; Poales; Poaceae
Description: partial small subunit ribosomal RNA
Source: RNAcentral